GAUGAACGCUCGCGGCAGGCCUAACACAUGCAAGUCGAGGGAGAGGUUACCUUCGGGUACCCAAAACCGGCGCACGGGUGCGUAACGCGUAUACAAUCUGCCUUUCACAUAGGGACAGCCCGAAGAAAUUUGGAUUAAUACCUAAUGGUAUAUAAGAGCGGCAUCGUUUUUAUAUUAAAGCUACGGUGGUGAAAGAUGAGUAUGCGUUCUAUUAGCUAGUUGGAGAGGUAACGGCUCCCCAAGGCGACGAUAGAUAGGGGUUCUGAGAGGGAUGUCCCCCACACUGGUACUGAGAUACGGACCAGACUCCUACGGGAGGCAGCAGUGAGGAAUAUUGGACAAUGGUAGGAAGACUGAUCCAGCCAUGCCGCGUGCAGGAGGAAGGUCCUAUGGAUUGUAAACUGCUUUUGUAAGGGAAGAAUAAGGAGUACGUGUACUUUGAUGACGGUACCUUACGAAUAAGCAUCGGCUAACUCCGUG
RNAcentral lists this ribosomal RNA (480 nucleotides) under uncultured bacterium. RNAcentral's name for it is "partial 16S ribosomal RNA". It matches the Rfam family "Bacterial small subunit ribosomal RNA", at positions 28 to 507 of the family's 1533-position model. The record is from RNAcentral.